This 468-nucleotide ribosomal RNA is filed under the name uncultured bacterium. RNAcentral's name for it is "partial 16S ribosomal RNA". It matches the Rfam family "Bacterial small subunit ribosomal RNA", at positions 28 to 507 of the family's 1533-position model. The record is from RNAcentral.
GACGAACGCUGGCGGCGUGCUUAACACAUGCAAGCGGACCGGAAAGGCCCAGCUUUCGUGGGUUGCCGGAGUGGCGAACGGGUGGGUAACACGUGGGUAACUUGCCUUCGACCUUGGGUUAACUUCAGGAACUUGGGGCAAUAACCGGAUGGGCGCUCCUGCUGCAUGGGGGGGGUUGGGAAGUUUGGGCGGUUGGGGAUGGACUCGCGGCCUAUCAGUUUGUUGGUGGGGUAGCGGCUUACCAAGGCUCUGACGGGUAGCCGGACUGGGAGGGUGGCCGGCCACAUUGGGACUGGGGUCCGGCCCCAGCUCCUACGGGGGGCAGCAGUGGGGAAUAUUGCACAAAGGGCGGAAACCCGAUGCAGCAGCGCCGCGUGCGGGAUGACGGCCUUCGGGUUGUAAACCGCUUUCGGCUGUGACGGAGCGUGAGUGGCGGUAAUGGGUAUAGAAACACCGGCUAACUACGGU